CGCGGCCUAUCAGCUUGUUGGUGAGGUAACGGCUCACCAAGGCGACGACGGGUAGCCGGCCUGAGAGGGUGACCGGCCACACUGGGACUGAGACACGGCCCAGACUCCUACGGGAGGCAGCAGUGGGGAAUAUUGCACAAUGGGCGCAAGCCUGAUGCAGCAACGCCGCGUGAGGGAUGACGGCCUUCGGGUUGUAAACCUCUUUUAGCAGGGAAGAAGCGAAGGUGACGGUACCUGCAGAAAAAGCACCGGCUAACUACGUGCCAGCAGCCGCGGUAAUACGUAGGGUGCAAGCGUUGUCCGGAAUUAUUGGGCGUAAAGAGCUCGUAGGCGGUUUGUCACGUCUGCUGUGAAAAUCCAAGGCUCAACCUUGGACUUGCAGUGGGUACGGGCAGGCUAGAGUGCGGUAGGGGAGAUGGGAAUUCCUGGUGUAGCGGUGGAAUGCGCAGAUAUCAGGAGGAACACCAAUGGCGAAGGCACAUCUCUGGGCCGUAACUGACGCUGAGGAGCGAAAGCGUGGGGAGCGAACAGGAUUAGAUACCCUGGUAGUCCACGCCGUAAACGGUGGGUGCUAGCUGUGGGCCACAUUCCACGUGGUCCGUGACGAAGUUAACACAUUAAGCACCCCGCCUGGGGAGUACGG
RNAcentral lists this ribosomal RNA (643 nucleotides) under uncultured Actinomycetes bacterium. Its description in RNAcentral is "bacterial SSU rRNA". It matches the Rfam family "Bacterial small subunit ribosomal RNA", at positions 232 to 885 of the family's 1533-position model. The record is from RNAcentral. Lineage: Bacteria; Bacillati; Actinomycetota; Actinomycetes.